GUAAUCUGAAAGAUCUAAGCAUACAUAAGGAAGAUGAAACAGCGGGAAGCGACUUUGAUUUAUACUCGUAAUGAUAUCUUGCACUUUCAGAAGCGGAGAUAAAUACAAGAAGAUAGUGAGGUGCAGUAACGGAACCAUUAAAAUGUCCAAAAAAUUACGAGUAGAGAACUAAGGGCUUAGCAUUGGGGGAAAGACGAAAAAUAAACGUAUAAUAUAAUAAAAAAUAAAGUGUUUCACCGCUCUACGACCGAUUCCUGCUGCCAAUUUCAGUUCCUUGUGAUUACGACUGCUACUUCCCAGCAACAUUUGUCCCAAUGAUAAAAGUGCAGUGUAAGGUGAAAAGGUUACACUAUCUCUGAAAUUAUUCGGCCUUAAGUUCUGCAAAUUAAAAAUUAACACUACUUCAUCUGCUCGGAUGUACAGAAAAGCUGUUAAGUAUCAUGGAUUAAGCAUGUAGCAAUGGGAUGUCAAUGUAUAAAAAAACAAACAGUAUAAAUAACCAAAAUAUUAUCCUCUAUAAUGUUGUAUAUACUCAAAAGGGGCGUAAAGAGGGUGGAAAUAAGGAGAGAUUACUUCCAUUUCUGAAUUAUCACAAUGAUCUCAAAUAUUAUUUUAGGAGAGAAUUAACUAGUAACUGACGCGUUCUGUUAAAAACUAUAUCUCUCUUGGUCUCCCGUAAAAACUCUUGGUCUCCCGUAAAAACUCUUGGUCUCC
This is a long non-coding RNA of Plodia interpunctella (Indianmeal moth), 714 nucleotides long. RefSeq lists it as uncharacterized. The record is from RefSeq and is a predicted model, not a curated record. The transcript has 3 exons. Lineage: Eukaryota; Metazoa; Arthropoda; Insecta; Lepidoptera; Pyralidae.